This 1113-nucleotide long non-coding RNA is filed under the name Olea europaea subsp. europaea. Lineage: Eukaryota; Viridiplantae; Streptophyta; Magnoliopsida; Lamiales; Oleaceae. The record is from RNAcentral.
AAGUAUUUUCUUAGCGAGACCAAGAUCCUUCAUUUCAAAUUCUGAUUUUAAUUUGUGUUUGAUAUCAUCAAUUUCAAAUUUAUUAGCACUAGCAAGAAGCAUAUCAUCAACAUAAAGCACAAGAUACAAUGAAUCUUUCUCCACAUCCUUUACAAUAAAGACAUGUAUCAUAAUUGCUUCUACUAAACCCAAGUUUCAAGACAAAUGAAUCAAAUCUUUUAUACCAUUGUCUUGGAGCUUGUUUUAGGUCAUAUAAUGAUUUUUUUAACAAACACACAGUUUUUUCAGGAUUUCCUUUAAUAAAUCCUAGAGGCUGUCUCAUGUAGAUCACUUCAUCCAAUUCACCAUACAAGAAUGCAAUUUUUACAUCUAGUUGAUCAAGUUUCCAUUUAAAUUGCACAACUAAAGCUAGAAUACCUCUUAUAGUUGUAUAUUUAACCACGGGAGAAAAAAUCUCAUCAUAGUCCACACCCUCUUUUGUGUGAAACCCUUGGCAACUAGUCUUGCUUUGUAUCUAACAUUAUUAGUGCCACCUUUCCCUUCCUUUAUUUUAUAAAUCCACUUGCAAUCAACUAGUUUCUUAUCAUUAGGUUUGUCAACCAAUUCCCAAGUUUCAUUCUUGUAUAAGGAAGACAUUUCUUCUUCCAUAGCACUCAACCACCGCUUAGAAUCUUUAGAUCUCAAGGCUUCAUGAUAGGAACUAGGUUCAGAUUCAAUUUCUUCUUGGUAAGUGAACAAAGACACAAAGUCAUCACUAUUGAACCUAGCCGGUGGUCUAAUUUGCCUCCUAUCCCUGUCUCUAGUAAGCUGGUAUUCAUCUAGAGUUAUAUUUAUGUCAUCACAUAAAUCAGGUUCGACCAAAUCAGGCUCAUUCUCAUUCUGGUCAGCCUCAUUAGUUGCUGCUUCUAAGGGGACAGAACUGGUAUUAUCAAUUUUAAUAGGCUCCACCUCAAUUUGGACAUCAUUUUCAGUCAAAUUCUCCUUUUUUCCUUCCAAACAUGGCAUACAUGAUUCAUUAAAGAUCACAUCCAUUCUUAUGAUAACCCUGUAACCUUUUUCCCCAUAAACCCACAACCUGUAACCUUUAACAUUUUCAACAUAGCCCAAAAACAC